This 2505-nucleotide long non-coding RNA is filed under the name Citrus maxima (pomelo). RNAcentral's name for it is "long non-coding RNA (CMAX_LNC003668)". Lineage: Eukaryota; Viridiplantae; Streptophyta; Magnoliopsida; Sapindales; Rutaceae. The record is from RNAcentral.
AAGGUACACACACAGAGAGAGAGAGAGAGAGAGAGAGAGAGAAUCCAGCCUACAACAAUUUCAUUUCUCAUUAAUGCUAACUUAGCUAAGGCCAUUCCAUCCACUUUAAAGUAACUUCAUGUGAAAACAGAUUGAAUUUCAAUUUUACUAGGAGAUCGUUUGUAUGAUGCACCAUAUGUAUCAUACCGUUCUCUGGAUAUACCUGUUUCAAGAUAACUAUGCUUCAGACUUCAGAGAACAAUAAUAUACAACAAGACCAAACAUAAAAAAGCCAAUUAAAUUACUGCAAAUAAAAGUCUGCAAAUACAAUAAGACCAAUAUAUAUAUAUAUGUGUGUGUGUGUGUAAAUAAAUAAAUAAAUAUAUUUUGCACCGAAACACGGUCUUAGAAAGAGUGAUUUUGGUUUUUGAUUCAACAAGAGUGAGAGUGAUACAAACCGAUUAUUUUUAUUGAAACAUAAAAUAAAAUGAAAAGGACAAACAAUAUAGAAGAGUAAAAAUAGAUUAGUUUGAGGAAAUUUAAGCCUUCAAAAUAAGUAUAGAGCAUUAGAGAAACCAAUAAACUUCUAUAUACAACUUAAGUUGUAGUAAAAAACUAUAAAUCUAUAAUCAUCCCAUGCUUUAUCUUAAUCCAAUUAUUCCUGAAAAUAAGAGACUUCAUAGCUUCUUCAUUUCGAAUUUCCUAUAGACAAGUACAACUUUUACUUUCUUUUGGCAUUUCUCAAAUAUUAGCUCUCUAUAAACUUGAGAAGUGUUUAUAUGGGUUGAGAAAAGCUCCUUGUUGUUUCCAUAAAGGUAAAUAUAUCUUGAAUUCUUAACCUUUUGGAGGAAUUUAUAUCUUUAGGUUUACGAAGAGAAAAUGCCAACAAUCUUCAGCUAACCCACUUGAACACACCCUUCUUUCCUCUAUUGACAACUAAGAUUACUGCGGGGAUCUCAUAAUCGGGCUUUGGUUCUCGAAUGAGUUUGAUAAACCUUCGUCUCUAGAGCUGGACCCAAUUGAGGUUUUUAGAUUUAUAGAAACCCAUGGCCUACUUCAACCCAAGAACUAAUUCAAAAAUAGAAGAUUCCUCAAGUUUAUAUUGUUAGCCUAGUUACCAUUAUCCUUGAGAUAAUAUCCUCAACAAUAUUCCCAUUUUACGGCGCAGUUCGGAGAUGAUACAUGUAAUGGUAGGCAAUCUGGGGGGCUGAAUCCAAUUUGGUAAUCGCCACCUUUCGGCUGCUUUAAAAUGAAUAUUAUUGAUGCUGCAAUGGAUCAGACGGCUGGGAUAGCAGGACUUGAUAGGAGACAGCAAGAUUCUGGGCCUAGUCCUUUCUUGGGCUUCUCUCCCUUUUUAAACUUGUAGUUUCAUUUUCGUAAUGGACCUUUUGCUCUUCUUAAUUAGGCCUGGGCAUGCUGUAAGUGUUUUCUUGUCGGAGUUAAAGCGAGUGAUGACAAACUUUACGCAACGUGGCUCCUGCGUUUCUACUGUGCAAGUCAUUUUUAUUAAUCAAUUGUCUACCAUACUAUUUACUUUGAAAUAAAUUGAUAUUUCAUUCAUCAUAGAGAACUUUGAGUACCAUCGUACAUCCACUACAAACACACAUAAAAAUCGAUUAACAGAUUAUUUAUUGCAAGUAGACAAUAGAUUAAGUUAUUGUAUUUUCAAGUUAUGAGAGGAAAAACGAUUAUUUAUAAAAUGCAAUGUAUAUUCAUUCUUCCCUUAAUCCACAGGUAAUUAAAGUUUUAAUAAAUAGAUGUAUACAGGUAAUUGCCUAAGGUCUACCAAGCUUCUCAGUUAAUCUACUCAAAAGAAACUUCUCAACAGUCACGUUUUGAUAAAUUGGGAUAUUUUUAACGCCUUUAAUCUUUGAAAGCUCACUCUUAGAAUUGGUUGCCGAGUUUCCGACUAUUAAUUCAACUGUAGUCAUUACUACACGCACACAUAUUUAUGCUUAUGAUACAGUCAGAUUGAAUCUGUUAUAGGCUAAUUAAUUACAAUAUGUUUCUUUUACAAGCUAUAUGAUUGGACCUUAAUUAAUGAUCGAAGAAGAAAUUAUAAGAUUAAGUACUUCUCCUAGAGCUAAUAUUAAUGUAACAAAACAACUUCAGAUAUUUCCCAAUAAGCCACUAGAUCAGGAUCAAAUCCACCAGUCAAUAUUCCACGAGAUUUUUCCAUUUCAUGAAUUAAUAGGUCUGCCAUCACUAGAUUGAGUACGGAAAUUAAAAAAAAAAAAAGAGUAGAAAUGAAAAAUAAAGGAAAUAUCAAUCAUACCUUUUCUUCAGGAGAAAUCAGAUGGAGGGUGGCGCUGGUUUUUUUAUCUAAAGAUGACUCCAUGGAUAAUCCCUUGAAGCCCCAACGCUCUAUUUUUUUUUUGGUUGUUUAAGAAUUAUUUUCGACAAAGUACUUGAACUCGGGGAGAGAUAGGCCUGGAGACAUAUAUAGAUAAGGCAGCGUCUUACGGUCCUAAUGCUGCAACGUGGUCCAAUUCCUUCUCAACGGAGAAAACGUUCUGUCAUCGUCAA